CUCUCGAGCUCCAUCAGUCUAGCCACCAUGAUAAGCGCCAGCCGAUCCGCUGCAGCCCGUGUUGUGGGCGCCCCCAAGGCCCCAGGGCCGCCCACCAGCAGGAUUGCUGGAAUGGCUUUAGUCAUGAGGCUUUCAGAUUUGUUUCCAGGAGGGAUUAUGCGUCAGAAGCAAUCAAGGAUGCAGUGGUUGGUAUUGAUUUGGGUACUACCAACUCCCGUGUGGCAGUUAUGGAGGGCAAACAAGCAAAGGUGCUGGAGAAUGCUGAAGGUGCCAGAACCACCCCUUCCGUUGUUGCCUUUACAGCAGAUGGUGAACGCCUUGUUGGUAUGCCAGCAAAGCGACAAGCUGUCACCAACCCAAACAAUACAUUCUAUGCCACCAAACGUCUCAUUGGCCGGCGAUAUGAUGACCCUGAAGUACAGAAAGACCUGAAGAAAGUCCCUUUUAAAAUUGUCCGUGCCUCUAAUGCUGAUACUUGGGUUGAGGAUCAUGCCAAACUCUAUUCUCCAAGUCAAAUUGGAGCAUUUGUAUUGAUGAAGAUGAAAGAAACGGCAGAAAAUCAUUUGGGACAUGCAGCAAAAAAUGCUGUUAUCACCGUCAAUGCUUAUUUCAAUUAUUCUCAGAGACAGGCCACUAAGGAUGCUGGCCAGAUAUCAGGACUAAAUGUGCUUCGGGUGAUUAGUGAACCUACAGCAGCAGCAGCUAAAUGUGAACUCUCUUCAUCUGUGCAGACUGACAUCAAUUUGCCAUAUGUUACUAUGGAUGCUUCUGGACCAAAGCAUUUGAAUAUGAAACUGACACGGGCUCAAUUUGAGGGAAUCAUUACUGAUCUUAUCAAGAGGACUAUUGUUUCAUGCCAGGAAGCUAUGCAGGAUGCCAAAAUCACCAAGAGUGACAUAGGAGAAGUGAUUCUUGUUGGUGGCAUGACCAGGAUGCCUAAGGCUCAGCAAACUGUGUAAGAUCUUUUUGGCCAAGCCCCAAGUAAUCUAUUAAUCCUGAUGAGGUUGUGGCCAUUGGAGCUGCCAUUGGUGUGCUAGCUGGUGAUGUCACAGAUGUGCUAUUCCUGGAUGUCACUCCCCUGUCUCUGGGUAUUGAGACCCUAGGAGGUGUGUUUACCAAACUUAUUAACAAGAAUACCACCAUUCCAAUCAAAAAGAGCCAGGUGUUUUCAACUGCUGCUGAUGGACAGGCUCAAGUGGAGAUUAAAGUAUGUCAGAGUGAGAGAGAGAUGGCUGGAAAUAAGAAACUUCUUGGUCAGUUUACUUUGAUUGGAAUUCCUCCAGCCCCUCAUGGAGUUCCUCAGAUUGAAGUUACAUUUGACAUUGAUGCCAAUGGAAUUGUACAUGUUUCUGCCAAAGAUAAAGGCACAGGACCAGAGCAGCAGAUUGUAAUCCAGUCUUCUGGUGGGUUAAGCAAAGAUGAUAUUGAAAAUAUGGUUAAAAAUGCAGAGAAGUAUUCUGAGGAAGACCAUCGAAAGAAGGAACGAGUUGAAGCAGUUAACAUGGCUGAAGGAAUUAUUCAUGACACAGAAACUAUGAUGGAAGAAUUCAAAGACCAACUGCCUACUGAUGAGUGCAGCAAGCUAAAAGAAGAAAUACCAAAGAAGAAAUACCCCAAAUGAGGGAACUCUUGGCUCCAAAAGACUGAAACAGGAAAAAACAUUAGGCAUACAACAUCUCUCCUUCAGCAAGAAUCAGUGAAGCUCUUUGAAAUGGCAUAUAAAAAGAUGGCAUCUGAAGGAGAAGGCUCUGGAAGUUCUGGCACUGGAGAACAAAAGGACAAUCAAAAGGAAGAGAAGCAGUAGUAGUUGCAGUACACU
Molecule: RNA transcript, 1819 nt
Organism: Perognathus longimembris pacificus (Pacific pocket mouse)
Lineage: Eukaryota; Metazoa; Chordata; Mammalia; Rodentia; Heteromyidae
Gene name: stress-70 protein, mitochondrial-like
Exons: 1
Source: RefSeq, a predicted model, not a curated record